UGUUAGGUCACGAAUGCUUGUUUUGAUAUGAUUAAUCACUAAAUAGAUAUGACCUUGAUUUUGACAUUUGAUUUUAUCUAAAGGGGAUGUAAAGGUUCCAGACCCAGUAAGGUUGAAUUAAAACAGAACAAAAAACGGUUACAAUUGUUUUUAAUUUAAAAUACUAACAACUUAUUUUAUCUAAAUUUUAGAAAAGAUUUAAGGAUAUCGGCUAAAGGAUCCUCAAAAUAAGGAACAUUUUUAGGGAAGCUACAUUGAUUCCAUAAGUUUGCCGAGUGUUAUGUGCCUUAUGUCCAAGGCUUCAUGCAAAACUACUAUCGAGCCGAGGGUCUCAUUGGAAACAACCUCUCUAUUCCUAUAGGGUAGAGGUAAGGCGGUCUACAUCUUACCCUCCUCAGACCCUACCUUAGCUUUGCUAUUGGUGGGGUUUACUGAGUAUGAUGAUGAUGAUGAUGUAGUUGCUCUUAAAAAAGACAUGGUUUGAGGAAAAAAAACUCAUAAUGUGUUUCUAAUUUGCUAAUGGGAGUUUCCUUUGGCUGUAGAUUGCUUACAAAUGAAGAUAUAUUUUUUACACUUAACUUAACUUUUUUUUGAAUGGCAAGGAAUGACGUGCCAACCACCAUGACACCGGGCGUUGUGGUCAAAGUCGACUACUCGACCGCCGCCAACCCCUUGGUCUCCCAGAUGCGCGGAAACCCGACCACCCGCGCAAAGGCACGACAGUGGAAUAAAUUAUGACUUAACAACUUGGUUCUUAACUUUUUAAAAUAUGUUAAUGUACUACCAGUUUGAUGCUCUUGUCCAUAAAAGUUAACUUGAUGGUGAAAUGGGUGAUGCUCAUAUGGCGAUGCAGGCUAGGCUUAUUAGCCAUGUCAUUUAGAACUUUAGUUGCUUUCUUCAUGUGGCCACUAAGAUGCGUAAACUUUCAAAUGGAUACUAUUAUUAUGACAUGCUAUAUUUGGUACCAUUUUCAUCUUACCAAAACCUAUCACCUGAUGGCAAAGUAGAUAGAAAUGAGUCUGAUUCAAUCACAUCUUCUGAGUCUAAUUCUAAUGUAAUUGUCACCAAGGUAUACAAAAUUAAAGUGGACAAAAUACUUGUGAUGAGGAUGUGUGACCUCUAUUCAGGAUCUGGUUCAAUGUCUACCAGACUUUGUUUGGUACUAAUAUGGCAGAUAGAUGGGUUGUAGAUUUAAAUAAAAUAUGCAUUUGAAAGCUUGAAGCUGAAUCUGCUUCAGGAGCUUAUGGAAGGAAUAGAACUUCCAGGGCUAGUAGAUGCCAUCUGGACCACCACC
This is a long non-coding RNA of Helianthus annuus (common sunflower), 1294 nucleotides long. RefSeq lists it as uncharacterized. Lineage: Eukaryota; Viridiplantae; Streptophyta; Magnoliopsida; Asterales; Asteraceae. The transcript is spliced from 5 exons. The record is from RefSeq and is a predicted model, not a curated record.